This 1258-nucleotide ribosomal RNA is filed under the name metagenome. RNAcentral describes it as "bacterial LSU rRNA". It matches the Rfam family "Bacterial large subunit ribosomal RNA", at positions 1635 to 2885 of the family's 2925-position model. The record is from RNAcentral.
CAUACGACCGUACCGCAAACCGACACUGGUGCGCGAGAUGAGUAUUCUAAGGCGCUUGAGAGAACUCAGGAGAAGGAACUCGGCAAAUUGACACCGUAACUUCGGAAGAAGGUGUGCCCUAUUAGUGUGUAGUGAACAACGAAGCAUGAAUGGGUUGCAAAAAAUCGGUGGCUGCGACUGUUUAUUAAAAACACAGCACUCUGCAAACACGAAAGUGGACGUAUAGGGUGUGACGCCUGCCCGGUGCUGGAAGAUUAAAUGAUGGGGUGCAAGCUCUUGAUUGAAGUCCCAGUAAACGGCGGCCGUAACUAUAACGGUCCUAAGGUAGCGAAAUUCCUUGUCGGGUAAGUUCCGACCUGCACGAAUGGCGUAACGAUGGCCACACUGUCUCCUCCUGAGACUCAGCGAAGUUGAAAUGUUUGUGAUGAUGCAAUCUCCCCGCGGAAAGACGGAAAGACCCCAUGAACCUUUACUGUAGCUUUGUAUUGGACUUUGAACAGAUCUGUGUAGGAUAGGUGGGAGGCUUUGAAGCAGGGUCGCUAGAUCUUGUGGAGCCAACUUUGAAAUACCACCCUGGUGUGUUUGAGGUUCUAACCUAGGUCCAUUAUCUGGAUCGGGGACAGUGCAUGGUAGGCAGUUUGACUGGGGCGGUCUCCUCCCAAAGCGUAACGGAGGAGUUCGAAGGUACGCUAGUUACGGUCGGACAUCGUGACGAUAGUGCAAUGGCAUAAGCGUGCUUAACUGCGAGACUGACAAGUCGAGCAGAUGCGAAAGCAGGACAUAGUGAUCCGGUGGUUCUGUAUGGAAGGGCCAUCGCUCAACGGAUAAAAGGUACUCUGGGGAUAACAGGCUGAUACCGCCCAAGAGUUCAUAUCGACGGCGGUGUUUGGCACCUCGAUGUCGGCUCAUCUCAUCCUGGGGCUGUAGCCGGUCCCAAGGGUAUGGCUGUUCGCCAUUUAAAGAGGUACGUGAGCUGGGUCUAAAACGUCGUGAGACAGUUUGGUCCCUAUCUUCCGUGGGCGCUGCAGAUUUGAGGAAGCCUGCUCCUAGUACGAGAGGACCGGAGUGGACACACCUCUGGUGUAUCGGUUGUCACGCCAGUGGCAUUGCCGAGUAGCUAAGUGUGGAAGAGAUAACCGCUGAAAGCAUCUAAGCGGGAAACUCGUUUCAAGAUGAGAUCUGCCGGGGCCUUGAGCCCCCUAAAGAGUCGUUCAAGACCAGGACGUUGAUAGGUCAGGUGUGGAAGCUAAAAAAAAAU